Molecule: long non-coding RNA, 1289 nt
Organism: Gallus gallus (chicken)
Lineage: Eukaryota; Metazoa; Chordata; Aves; Galliformes; Phasianidae
Source: Ensembl
CAGCUCUGACUGCUUCCUUAUAAUAGUAAUAACAACAAUAAACACUUCAGUUGCAUAUUGGAGGAAUGACAAAUAAUAUCUCACCUCAGAUCAAGAAGUUAACUGCUUUAAACCUAAAUUACACUAACUAGUUAUUUCUGGAGUGGCCUACUUCAGUAAAGAAAGUACUCAGAAAACAUUUUGCUUUUUUUUUUAAACUAAGAUUAGUACUAUAUUUUUUCAUAACUAUUAAAAAAAAAUCAAACACUGUAUGCUUUUCCAAUUUUUUUAUCUCCAUUACUGAAGUAUGCUGGGUGCAUGCAGCAAGAGGCCAAUUCACUGAUCUAACUGUUCAUUCAGAUGUGAUUAAUAACUUCGCUUUUAUGCCAGGGGACACUACGCUGGCACUGCUGGAAGAUAGACCAGAGAUACUUGGCACAUCUAAUGCCUUGAUACUGUGCUAAGUAUUACAAUACACGUGGGGUGAUGUAUAACAACAUUUGAUUAGAGUUGUUUUAAAAGAUAAUUGGGGAGCAAAGAUCAAGUUUGUGCAUUUUGUGCCUUAUUUCAUUCUUUUUUUUUUUUUGCACCAUCUUUGAUAAAUGUUUUCAAAAUGUAAGGUUGUGUUGUUACAGAAGGGGCGAUAUGACACCUCACAGUCCUACUCCCCAUCAAAAUGUUCUUAGGAAUGGAAAAUGGAAAGUAGGGAGGGCAAAGAAAGUCAAAACCUGUUGCUGUAAUGGUUCUCAGAGGUAUAUUGGUGAACUAGAUUCUCUUUACUUAGGGUGAGAUAUGUUGUUCGUGGACCUCCCCGUUGGUUUGUGCCUAGGUUGAAAGAAGCAGGGCUAAUUGGAUUAAGAAGAAAACCUAAGUAAUCCAGUAUAUAUUCAAAAUAAGAAGAUCAAAUAACUGGAAUAAUAUCUUAUUCUUUUUCCACUCUUGAAACAGUGAUAUCACUUGAAAGGAUUAAAAAUUAAGUUGUUUAUGUCCUUGGCUAACAUGGUUUGGGACGGUUUGUAACACAGCAAUAUUGGGUUUGUGGCUGAAAACUGUGUUGGGUGAGAAUUCGUGAUGUUUCUUCUGGACUUAAAAGGGCAUGGAAACUGCACGGUGGUUUCAAUGGAAGGGAUGCUACGAGGCGCUGCAGCCGUGGCUUAGAGAGGGCAUGGCUGGGACCAAGCUAUUGGCAAACCAGCAGCUGGAGGUGGGCAGCAGUGGCUGGAAACUUCAGUAACUGAGUAGCUAAGCCCCCUUGCAAUCCAGGAGGGGUCCAAUGCCCUGGUGCCCCUUGCUGUGCUAACUCUGCUGUG